GAUGAACGCUGGCGGCGUGCCUAAUACAUGCAAGUCGAGCGAACAGACGAGGAGCUUGCUCCUCUGACGUUAGCGGCGGACGGGUGAGUAACACGUGGAUAACCUACCUAUAAGACUGGGAUAACUUCGGGAAACCGGAGCUAAUACCGGAUAAUAUAUUGAACCGCAUGGUUCAAUAGUGAAAGACGGUUUUGCUGUCACUGAUAGAUGGAUCCGCGCCGCAUUAGCUAGUUGGUAAGGUAACGGCUUACCAAGGCAACGAUGCGUAGCCGACCUGAGAGGGUGAUCGGCCACACUGGAACUGAGACACGGUCCAGACUCCUACGGGAGGCAGCAGUAGGGACUCUUCCGCAAUGGGCGAAAGCCUGACGGAGCAACGCCGCGUGAGUGAUGAAGGUCUUCGGAUCGUAAAACUCUGUUAUUAGGGAAGAACAAAUGUGUAAGUAACUAUGCACGUCUUGACGGUACCUAAUCAGAAAGCCACGGCUAACUACGUG
Molecule: ribosomal RNA, 497 nt
Filed under: uncultured bacterium
Lineage: Bacteria
Description: partial 16S ribosomal RNA
Rfam family: Bacterial small subunit ribosomal RNA
Source: RNAcentral